RNAcentral lists this ribosomal RNA (752 nucleotides) under uncultured bacterium. Its description in RNAcentral is "bacterial SSU rRNA". It matches the Rfam family "Bacterial small subunit ribosomal RNA", at positions 33 to 780 of the family's 1533-position model. The record is from RNAcentral.
ACGCUGGCGGCAGGCCUAACACAUGCAAGUCGAGCGGUAGAGAGAAGCUUGCUUCUCUUGAGAGCGGCGGACGGGUGAGUAAUGCCUAGGAAUCUGCCUGGUAGUGGGGGAUAACGUUCGGAAACGGACGCUAAUACCGCAUACGUCCUACGGGAGAAAGCAGGGGACCUUCGGGCCUUGCGCUAUCAGAUGAGCCUAGGUCGGAUUAGCUAGUUGGUGAGGUAAUGGCUCACCAAGGCGACGAUCCGUAACUGGUCUGAGAGGAUGAUCAGUCACACUGGAACUGAGACACGGUCCAGACUCCUACGGGAGGUAGCAGUGGGGAAUAUUGGACAAUGGGCGAAAGCCUGAUCCAGCCAUGCCGCGUGUGUGAAGAAGGUCUUCGGAUUGUAAAGCACUUUAAGUUGGGAGGAAGGGCAGUUACCUAAUACGUGAUUGUUUUGACGUUACCGACAGAAUAAGCACCGGCUAACUCCGUGCCAGCAGCCGCGGUAAUACAGAGGGUGCAAGCGUUAAUCGGAAUUACUGGGCGUAAAGCGCGCGUAGGUGGUUUGUUAAGUUGGAUGUGAAAUCCCCGGGCUCAACCUGGGAACUGCAUUCAAAACUGACUGACUAGAGUGUGGUAGAGGGUGGUGGAAUUUCCUGUGUAGCGGUGAAAUGCGUAGAUAUAGGAAGGAACACCAGUGGCGAAGGCGACCACCUGGACCAACACUGACACUGAGGUGCGAAAGCGUGGGGAGCAAACAGGAUUA